AUAGCCGGCUCCAAUGGAUCGUU
Molecule: non-coding RNA, 23 nt
Filed under: Arabidopsis thaliana (thale cress)
Lineage: Eukaryota; Viridiplantae; Streptophyta; Magnoliopsida; Brassicales; Brassicaceae
Source: RNAcentral